Molecule: unclassified non-coding RNA, 212 nt
Filed under: Hevea brasiliensis (rubber tree)
Lineage: Eukaryota; Viridiplantae; Streptophyta; Magnoliopsida; Malpighiales; Euphorbiaceae
Source: RNAcentral
GUGAGCCAAGGGCAAUGCUCAGGAAAGGUCGAGGCAAAGCUGAUCUCCCAAUAUAUUCAAUCCAGAUAUGUAUACCUAAGCACGCCAUAAAUUUGAUCUUCUCAUUCACAAACGGAGUCGAGUGGGAUGGUCCCUACAGGCUGCAGUUUCAAGUUCCAAAGCCUUGGCAAAACAAACCAAUUGACUUUUUCAAUAAGGGUCUUGCAGACGAG